Molecule: ribosomal RNA, 403 nt
Filed under: bacterium
Lineage: Bacteria
Description: partial 16S ribosomal RNA
Rfam family: Bacterial small subunit ribosomal RNA
Source: RNAcentral
UGGGGAAUAUUGCACAAUGGGGGAAACCCUGAUGCAGCGACGCCGCGUGAACGAAGAAGGUAUUCGUAUCGUAAAGUUCUGUCCUAUUGGAAGAUAAUGACAGUACCAUAGAAGAAAGCUCCGGCUAAAUACGUGCCAGCAGCCGCGGUAAUACGUAUGGAGCGAGCGUUGUCCGGAAUUAUUGGGCGUAAAGGGUACGCAGGCGGUUUAAUAAGUCGAAUGUUAAAGAUCGGGGCUCAACCCCGCAAAGCAUUGGAAACUGAUAAACUUGAGUAGUGGAGAGGAAAGUGGAAUUCCUAGUGUAGUGGUGAAAUACGUAGAUAUUAGGAGGAAUACCAGUAGCGAGGGCGACUUUCUGGACACAAACUGACGCUGAGGUACGAAAGCGUGGGGAGCAAACAGG